This 497-nucleotide ribosomal RNA is filed under the name uncultured bacterium. Its description in RNAcentral is "partial 16S ribosomal RNA". It matches the Rfam family "Bacterial small subunit ribosomal RNA", at positions 28 to 507 of the family's 1533-position model. The record is from RNAcentral.
GAUGAACGCUGGCGGCGUGCCUAAUACAUGCAAGUCGAGCGAACAGACGAGGAGCUUGCUCCUCUGACGUUAGCGGCGGACGGGUGAGUAACACGUGGAUAACCUACCUAUAAGACUGGGAUAACUUCGGGAAACCGGAGCUAAUACCGGAUAAUAUAUUGAACCGCAUGGUUCAAUAGUGAAAGACGGUUUUGCUGUCCCUUAUAGAUGGAUCCGCGCCGCAUUAGCUAGUUGGUAAGGUAACGGCUUACCAAGGCAACGAUGCGUAGCCGACCUGAGAGGGUGAUCAGCCACACUGGAACUGAGACACGGUCCAGACUCCUACGGGAGGCAGCAGUGGGGAAUCUUCCGCAAUGGGCGAAAGCCUGACGGAGCCACGCCGCGUGAGUGAUGAAGGUCUUCGGAUCGUAAAACUCUGUUAGUAGGGAAGAACAAAUGUGUAAGUAACUAUGCACGUCUUGACGGUACCUAAUCAGAAAGCAACGGCUAACUACGUG